RNAcentral lists this ribosomal RNA (253 nucleotides) under uncultured bacterium. Its description in RNAcentral is "partial 16S ribosomal RNA". It matches the Rfam family "Bacterial small subunit ribosomal RNA", at positions 524 to 776 of the family's 1533-position model. RNAcentral also lists the same sequence under 1 other name. The record is from RNAcentral.
UACGUAGGGGGCAAGCGUUGUCCGGAUUUACUGGGCGUAAAGAGCGUGUAGGCGGCCACGCAGGUCCGUUGUGAAAACUGGAGGCUCAACCUCCAGCUGUCGACGGAAACCGUGUGGCUAGAGUCCGGAAGAGGAGAGUGGAAUUCCUGGUGUAGCGGUGAAAUGCGCAGAUAUCAGGAAGAACACCAAUGGCGAAGGCAGCUCUCUGGGACGGUACUGACGCUGAGACGCGAAAGCGUGGGGAGCGAACAGG